GGGGUUGUGGCUCAAUGGUAGAGUGCUCACCUAGCACAUGUGUGACACUGGGUUUGAUUCUCAGCACCACA
This 71-nucleotide transfer RNA is filed under the name Marmota monax (woodchuck). RNAcentral describes it as "tRNA.Ala". The record is from RNAcentral. Lineage: Eukaryota; Metazoa; Chordata; Mammalia; Rodentia; Sciuridae.